AACCACUUGUGCCACCAGGGAAGCCCAGAGGGGACUUCUUUUUAAGAGAUGCAAUGUGGGGACUCUUUCCUAAAAUUAAAUUUAUUCAAUUUGAAGGACUUCAAUCUUAGAUCAUGGUCCUUUCAUAUUACAGUACUAAAGUUUCCCUUUUUAUAUGAAACAAAGAUAAAAAGAGACUGGGUGUGUUCAAUGUCUUUACUGGACUGGGGGUGGGAGGGAGUUGGCAAUUCUCUGUUAGUCCUCAAAUUAUUUUUGGAAACCUUGCUAGUUCAUGAAAUGCCAAGGUAAGGUAACGAGUGGGCCACUUAGAACUUGGCUGUGAAAGUACAUUGAACCUACAACCACACAUCGCAGUGACUUUCACUUUCAUGCAACAAAGGUGUUGACACCAGCCCAUCCUCUGCUCGCGAUGUCUACCACUUCCUCGGUAUGACACUGACCAUAGGUGAAGUUUUCACAGUGUGUUUCUAAUUCAUUCCCACACUGACCUGGGCUACAUUUUAAACAAAUUUUUCACUCCUAAAUGCUUUGUUGGAGUCUCCUUUCUUGGAAAGACUUCAGAAUCACUGGGUCCCCACAUCCACAUAGCAUCCUGAUGCACUGGGGUUAGGAGAAGCGGAAGCAGUACUUGUUUCAAAUGACAGCAAUGGCCUCAGCCAACUUCCCCGUACACUGGCCUGUUUUUCAUGAUGGGAUGCUAAUUUCAAACCAGAGAGUCUAUUCAGUCAAGAAAUGAAAAACUCCUCAUGUGACAGCAGGGCUGUUUAAAAUCAGAGCGACACAGUCUACCCUGAUCGCACACACAUGGGGCUCUGAAGUCAUUAAAGAAAAAAUUACACCAAUUCUGGGCACCAGAGCUGUCUGAGAGUUCAAAAGCUUAGAUUGUCAUGUGCUUUUUGCUAUUAUGCGUGUGGAGAAGAUCUUUUCAUCUUUUUUUUGUUUUUUUCAGUUGGUCAGAGAAAAUAGGUGGUGCUUUUCCGUAAACCAACUUGAACAAAAAUUGGAAACAAGUUUUUCAGAAAUGAUAUCACUUCUGACAAAAGAACUCAAAAAGCCAGUGGUCUGAAGGUUGUUUUACGUUCUGAGGACAUUGCUGUUGGUGUAACUCAGCCGCACGGGUGCUCUCACACACCUGAUCCUGGCUCACCAAGGGGAGAUUCAAAGCCUACACUCUGUACAACAGCAGGCAAGGGCUCGUACAUUUUAGAAAGGCUUCAUUAUGAAGUAUUCAAAACGAAGGGACCAGUGGCCCCCCAGAGAAGGCUUCCGUGCCCCUGCCAACUCCAGAGCAGGAUGGAACCGGGAGGGCUGAUGAGAGCAGAGAGUUGCCCUUGUCUUCUCUGAUGACGUAGCAGAGGAUGGGAAAUGAGAUCCAAUUGCAGUGAGGAGGAAGGAUGAAGAUGCAGCUCAUCGUGCACUCCUAACUCAUUCUUGAAAGACAAGCCUGAGCGAGCAGAUUUCUGACCAGAGAAACCCAGCUGGACCACCUAGGCAGCAGUCAGGAGAUGGCAGGGCUGUUUUGUGUAUGUUUUUUGUUUGCUUGCUCAGUUUUUAAUGGAAAAAAUGUUGUAUUUUUCUGUGCUUUCUGUGCUUUCAAAGUUUGUUAGCAUUAAAAAUCUAUUCCUUUUGUUAGAAAAAUAAACUAUGAAUAUUUUAAUAAUAGCUCAAACAUUGAAUUUGAUAACUAC
Aethalodelphis obliquidens (Pacific white-sided dolphin) is the source of this 1688-nucleotide long non-coding RNA. RefSeq lists it as uncharacterized. The transcript has 4 exons. The record is from RefSeq and is a predicted model, not a curated record. NCBI's taxonomy places the organism in Eukaryota, Metazoa, Chordata, Mammalia, Artiodactyla, Delphinidae.